CGAUAGACUCCAUUUGUGAGGAAGAGCACAGAACACAGGAAGCCUUGGAGCUGAGGAGCAGCUCUGAUUUUGGGCACAGGCCCAGAGCUUUCUGGUUAACUUUGCACUGCUCUCUUCAUGUGGAUUCCUCUCCUGCUCUGUGUGCAGAACAGUCUUCAUCAGUCUCUCUCUGUUGAUUUGCAGGAGUCCUUAAGCAUGGCGGGGAAGCCCAAGCUUCACUACUUCAAUGGCCAAGGCAGAAUGGAGUCCAUCCGGUGGCUCUUGGCUGCAGCAGGGGUAGAGUUUGAAGAAGAACUUUUUGAAACACAUGAAGAAUUUGAGAAAUUAAUCCAAGGAUUGACAUGUAUGUAGAGGCCUUGAAGGAUCUGAGUGACAUGAUUAUGUUCUUUCCACUCUCUCUGCCUGGAGAGAAGGCGAUGAAUCUUGAAUACAUCCUGGAAAGAGCCACUACAAGAUUCUUCCCUGUCUGUGAGAAGGAGUUCAAGGCCAGAAUCAGCUGCAUUCCCACAAUUCACAAAUUUCUCCAGCCUGGAAGCCAAAGGAAGCCUCCACUAGAUGAAGGCUCCAUUGAGACCGUGAAGAACAUAUUCAAAUUUGAACGUGGCAUGUUUCUUAAAAACAUGGGUACUAUAGUAGCCGGGUAUUAACAAACGAAGAGGUCUAAAGGCCUCGGCACAUCUCACUUCACAUUUGUAGCAGUACCCACAAAGGUAUCAUAAGGUCACUUUCAUAAAGAUAAGCAAAAGGAAAUAAACUACUAAUACUGGCCUGUAAAUCAGAUCACACUUUUUCUGUUUUUUAUAAAACAGUAAAACACCAAUCCAUCAGAAUCAUCCAAAGAUUCUUCUGCAUUCUA
Leopardus geoffroyi (Geoffroy's cat) is the source of this 856-nucleotide long non-coding RNA. RefSeq lists it as uncharacterized. NCBI's taxonomy places the organism in Eukaryota, Metazoa, Chordata, Mammalia, Carnivora, Felidae. The record is from RefSeq and is a predicted model, not a curated record. The transcript has 4 exons.